RNAcentral lists this microRNA precursor (97 nucleotides) under Nicotiana sylvestris (wood tobacco). Its description in RNAcentral is "MIR6152 microRNA precursor family". It matches the Rfam family "MIR6152 microRNA precursor family". The record is from Rfam by way of RNAcentral. RNAcentral also lists the same sequence under 1 other name. Lineage: Eukaryota; Viridiplantae; Streptophyta; Magnoliopsida; Solanales; Solanaceae.
UAGACAGAUUAUUGUAUUCGACUGUAUUCAUAGCGUGAAACAAAGGAUUACAAUUGUUUUUAAACGAAAAGUGAAUCAAUUAACAUAAUAAACUCCU